AUGCAAAGCACAUUGUGCACCAAAGAGGUGACUCUUGGUGACGAAGGAGUUCAUGUCGUCGUCUUGCUCCAUGAAGAGCGGGUUGGUAGAAGUACUUGGCCUAUCCAUCAUUCCAGGACAAGUGUGAGUGGAAGAAAGGGAAGAACCAAUAUCAAAUGUACCUUGACCGAUGUUGAACAUGGAUCAAAGAUGACUCCAAUGUGUAACAAGGAAAUAGCACAAUUGGUACCAAUUCUUGUCGGUUCUCACACCUACACAAGUAAAAGCUUUUGGUGGAGCUUGGUUAGGAUGGUGGCACAAAAUUUGAUGCAAUUGUAA
This 318-nucleotide ribosomal RNA is filed under the name Triticum aestivum (bread wheat). RNAcentral describes it as "partial small subunit ribosomal RNA". The record is from RNAcentral. Lineage: Eukaryota; Viridiplantae; Streptophyta; Magnoliopsida; Poales; Poaceae.